This 271-nucleotide ribosomal RNA is filed under the name uncultured bacterium. RNAcentral's name for it is "partial 16S ribosomal RNA". It matches the Rfam family "Bacterial small subunit ribosomal RNA", at positions 524 to 794 of the family's 1533-position model. The record is from RNAcentral.
UACGUAGGGUGCGAGCGUUGUUCGGAAUUACUGGGCGUAAAGGGCGCGUAGGCGGCCUGCUAAGUCGAACGUGAAAUCCCUGGGCUCAACCCAGGAACUGCGUCCGAUACUGGUUGGCUUGAAUCCGGGAGAGGGAUGUGGAAUUCCAGGUGUAGCGGUGAAAUGCGUAGAUAUCUGGAGGAACACCGGUGGCGAAGGCGACAUCCUGGACCGGCAUUGACGCUGAGGCGCGAAAGCCAGGGGAGCAAACGGGAUUAGAUACCCGAGUAGU